This 390-nucleotide ribosomal RNA is filed under the name uncultured eukaryote. Its description in RNAcentral is "bacterial SSU rRNA". It matches the Rfam family "Eukaryotic small subunit ribosomal RNA", at positions 592 to 971 of the family's 1831-position model. The record is from RNAcentral.
CAAUAGCGUAUAUUAAAGUUGUUGCGGUUAAAAGCUCGUAGUUGGAUUUCUGUCGAGGACAGCCGGUCCACACUUUGUGUGAGUAUCUGGUUUGGCCUUGGCAUCCUCUUGAAAACAGCUCUGCGCUUGAUUGCGUGGACUGGAGUUCAAGACUUUUACUUUGAGGAAAUUAGAGUGUUCACGGCAGGCAAACGCCUUGAAUAUAUUAGCAUGGAAUAAUAAGAUAGGACCUCGGUUCUAUUUUGUUGGUUUCUAGAGCUGAGGUAAUGAUUAAUAGGGAUAGUUGGGGGCGGAUUCGUUAUUUAACUUAGUCAGAGGUGGAAAUUACUUUGGUAGUUUGUUUAAAGAACGGACUACUGCGAAAGACAUUUGUCCAACGGAAGUGUUUUC